This 1291-nucleotide ribosomal RNA is filed under the name bacterium KA72. Its description in RNAcentral is "bacterial SSU rRNA". It matches the Rfam family "Bacterial small subunit ribosomal RNA", at positions 96 to 1387 of the family's 1533-position model. The record is from RNAcentral.
UGGCGACGAGGUGAGUAAGCACGUGAGUAACCUGCCCUUGACUCUAGAGGAUAAGCAUGGGAAACUGGGUCUAAUACCGGAUAUGACCUUCCAUCGCAUGGUGGUUGGUGGAAAGCUUUUGUGGUUUUAGGAUGGACUCGCGGCCUAUCAGCUUGUGGGUGGGGUAAUGGCCUACCAAGGCGACGACGGGUAGCCGGCCUGAGAGGGUGACCGGCCACACUGGGACUGAGACACGGCCCAGACUCCUACGGGAGGCAGCAGUGGGGAAUAUGGCACAAUGGGCGGAAGCCUGAUGCAGCGACGCCGCGUGAGGGAUGACGGCCUUCGGGUUGUAAACCUCUUGCAGUAGGGAAGAAGCGAGAGUGACGGUACCUGCAGAAGAGGCGCCGGCUAACUACGUGCCAGCAGCCGCGGUAAUACGUAGGGCGCAAGCGUUAUCCGGAAUUAUUGGGCGUAAAGAGCUCGUAGGCGGUUUGUCGCGUHUAGACCGUGAAAGUACCGGGGCUCAACUCCGGAUGCUGCGGUGGGUACGGGCAGACUAGAGUGAUGUAGAGGGAGACUGGAAUUCCUGGUGUAGCGGUGAAAUGCGUCAGAUAUCAGGAGGAACACCGAUGGCGAAGGCAGGUCUCUGGGCAUUAACUGACGCUGAGGAGCGAAAGCAUGGGGAGCGAACAGGAUUAGAUACCCUGGUAGUCCAUGCCGUAAACGAUUGGGCACUAGGUGUGGGGGACAUUCCACGUUUUCCGCGCCGUAGCUAACGCAUUAAGUGCCCCGCCUGGGGAGUACGGCCGCAAGGCUAAAACUCAAAGGAAUAGACGGGGGCCCGCACAAGCGGCGGAGCAUGCGGAUUAAUUCGAUGCAACGCGAAGAACCUUACCAAGGCUUGACAUGAACCGGACCGGGCUGGAAACAGUCUUUCCCCUUGUGGGCUGGUUUACAGGUGGUGCAUGGUUGUCGUCAGCUCGUGUCGUGAGAUGUUGGGUUAAGUCCCGCAACGAGCGCAACCCUCGUUCUAUGUUGCCAGCACGUGAUGGUGGGGACUCAUAGGAGACUGCCGGGGUCAACUCGGAGGAAGGUGGGGACGACGUCAAAUCAUCAUGCCCCUUAUGUCUUGGGCUUCACGCAUGCUACAAUGGCCGGUACAAAGGGUUGCGAUACUGUGAGGUGGAGCUAAUCCCAAUAAAGCCGGUCUCAGUUCGGAUUGGGGUCUGCAACUCGACCCCAUGAAGUCGGAGUCGCUAGUAAUCGCAGAUCAGCAACGCUGCGGUGAAUACGUUCCCGGGCUCGUACA